Molecule: unclassified non-coding RNA, 337 nt
Filed under: soil metagenome
Description: partial contains 5.8S ribosomal RNA, internal transcribed spacer 2, and large subunit ribosomal RNA
Rfam family: 5.8S ribosomal RNA (bases 1-120)
Source: RNAcentral
GAUGAAGAACGCAGCGAAAUGCGAUACGUAGUGUGAAUUGCAGAAUUCAGUGAAUCAUCGAAUCUUUGAACGCACAUUGCACCUCUCGGUAUUCCGGGAGGUAUGCCUGUUCGAGCGUCAUUUGUACCCUCAAGCUCUGCUUGGUGUUGGGUGUUUGUUCCGCCUCUGUGUGUGAACUCGCCUCAAAACAAUUGGCAGCCGGCGUACUUGUUUCGGAGCGCAGCACAUUUUGCGAUCCAGAUCAACGUACAGCGGCAUCCAAGAAGCCUUAUUUAACGCUCUUGACCUCGGAUCAGGUAGGGAUACCCGCUGAACUUAAGCAUUCAAUAGCGGAGGA